GGCUUCUCAGCGAAGCGGGGCGGCUGACGCUGCCCCGCGGGGGUCCCGGUGUCAACCAUUGACGAGUGUUGCGGAACUAAUGCGUACGUAGACCAGAGCGGAAGGCGGAGUGCGCUUGCAGGCGGCACGAGAGUAGGCCUGUCGUGUGAUGUCGUGUCUGUGGUUUGCCGCUGCUGCAUACCCCCCCCCUGGGGGUGGCUCUGCUGUGUGUGCUGUGCUGAGCGGUAGGUUGUUGCCGGUGCCUGUCGGGUGACUCAGUGCGUGUGACUCAGCGUGUCAAACCCGGUCCUGCAUGGGAGCCGCUACGGGCCCAGCGGGGGUAUGCCGGGCCAGCGAGUCCCUGACUCGCUGGUUGUGUUGCCAACAGCGCAAGCUAGCAGACUGUGUAUCAGACUGUGUCAACCAACCCAUCGCGAGCAUUAGCCUUGUCCGUUCCUUCGCUUCCCAAACGUUAGCAUCCCACUACGUUAGACUGCGUCAGCCUGCCUCGCGCCAGCAGCAGCAGCCAGCCUCCGUGGCUGAAUCGCUCAUCAUUGGUUGUCCCCGCGUCAGCGUCCAGACCUGAUCACCCUGGUACGCGGCCGGGCAUUGGGACAUUGGUGGCCAUACGGGGUCCCUUAGACACUCUAGGACCGUAUCCGGUACAUGCAACACAACCCUCAGUUGCUAUUGGCGAACUCGGCGCUGCAUCCCACUGCGCUCUCGCCCUUCUUCUCCGCGGCUACUUCUCACUGGACAACAAGGCUUUGCUCAUUCAUCCCUUCCUCUCGCUUACCUACAUCUACGAAGCAUGUCAGAUGCAUCAUGGCUCCGUCGAGUCGGGCGCGGCGCCCAUUUUCACUUCGCCGGCUGACGACCGCGAAGCUUGCUACACUCGGCGCACCUUGGCAGACUCUCGGGACAUAAUGCAGAUGGCAGACCAGGUCAUCGCAACUCUACCGCAGGAUGGUUACUCUGGCCCCUCGGCUCCGACAGCGCUGGCGACGCUGCACCUGAGUCCGCGCACGCGGCCAUUGGCGCCCUCACGCUCGCCUCAGCAGCACUGUCAGCGCCAGCUGCCUCCUCCAGCAGCUCCCUGCCUGCAGCCGCCAGCGCUCCCGCGCCCGCCGCCGCCGCCAGCGCCGCGCCCAGCAGUGACGCCGCCGCCGUCGACCCGGUCAGCUCUGCCGUCUCCAUGUACGCGCCUUACGCCUACGCCUUCCCCAUCCUCGCGGGCCACAGCAGCCCUGGCGACUCCACUGCGCCCGCUGCUGCACCCUGCGCCGCCGCCAACGGUGCAUCUGCAUCUUCUGACUUCCUCGGCGCUGCAUCCCAGAGCGCCAUUCUCACCGCCGCACCCUCGUGUGGCUUCGCCUCCAUCCCUCAAGACGCUGCAUACGUCUUCACCCCUUCACCUGGUCCUGCCUCAAGCAGCACCAUGGGCGCUGCUGCAUCCCAGAGCAGCGCCGGCGUCGCCGCCUCCGCCAUCGGCGCUGCCGCCGCACUCCCCGCGGCUGGCGCCGCAGCCGGCGACGCCUCCUCCCGUGCCGCCCCCGCUGGCGGCACACCUCAAGCCACACAGGCCACCGGUCCCGCGUCCGGCUCGCGCCUGCCGCUCGGCUUUGAGCAAUUCGAGAUGCGGCCGGCCAACUCAGAGGUCCUGCCGCUCCUCGCCACUUCCUCGCCUGCCCCUCCUGCUUCUUCUCCUGCCCCUCCUGCUUCUGCUCCUGCCUUCUCCAUCACCACCUCUCGCUGCGUGGCGGCCCCGCCUUCGCUGCUGGGGGGGGGGGACCGCUGGGCCGCGUGCACAGCAGCAGCUCAGCCAACGCCGCCGCCACCAGCGUUUCCUCGCCUAAGCCGCCGCCCGCCACUGUGGCCGGCGGCCGCUCGCCAUGAGCGCCCCAGACGGCGCGCAGCCGUCAGCAGGCGUCAACCCGCCUGAUAGCGCAUCAGCGCCUGGCAGCUCCGCGCACGCCGGCUCCCGCCUUGAGCGGCAGCCAGAUGGGUGGGCCUAUUGCGAGCGUCCCGACGUCACGGCCUCCCAACGUGACGCAUUCCUUGGGUUGUUGGCGGUCAACGCCACCGCCUUCACCUCGGGUACCUCGGGCAGCACGCAACCAGCAGCAGCAGCUGCAGCAACAGUAGCAGGAGAUGAGGCGCCAGCCGGCGCCUCUGCCCCGGGCAGCUUCACACCCGAGGGCCCUCGCUCGCUCCCGCCUGACGGCCGGUUCGAGCGGCAGCCUGAUGGGUGGGUCCACUGCGACCGACAAGACGUCACGGCAUCCCAACGUGACGCAAUUCUGGCCUUCAUGAACGCCAGCACGAGCACCUUCGCCUACAAGUUAGCAGAUCUUGUGGGCUACGGUGGCGACGUCGGCCUUGAGCUUCGCCACGGCCGUGCAAUCUAUGAGCGCCCGCGCCCGCACACCGCAGACGAGCUCACAAUCGUGGAGUCCAAGCUACUCCUGGCCUACGGGGACCCGGCGGCCGCCGCCUGGCUGCCGGGAGCUGCAGCUGGGGGGGCACCCACAGCCGACGCUGGGGGGGCACCCACAGCCGCCACUGGGGGGGCACCGGAGCCUCACGCUGGGGGGGCGCCUGUGGAGGGCGUGCCCAUCGGCGCCGAUGGCCGGCCAGCGUCUCAGCAAGUGCUCGCGGCUGCCAUCACCGCCCCGGCCCUGGUCUACCCUGCCGGCGCGCUCAUCCAAAGCGCGCGGGCCCGCUGGGCACAGCUGCAGGCGCUGCCCUCCGCGGUCUCGGUCAACGCCACCGCCAUCGUGCCCGACGCGAACGAGCUGUUUGCCGGCCACAACGGCGGCCCCACUGACGCCACGGAAGCCCCGCCGGCUGAGCGCCCGCCUGACCAACUCCUUAUCCAACUUCUCACUGUCAUCCAAGCCGCGCGUGUGCAGCUUCGGCAGCUGCCACGGUCCCCGCCACUGCCCCUCCGCCUGCGCUCCGGCACGGGCGACGUCCUGGGGCUGGACACGCGGCUGGUGCAGCACAACUUCUUCGCAGCCGCCAUGGGGGAUGCGGGCAUCACGCUGCUGGAGCUGCCCGGCGGCCUGGCCUCAGGGCUGCAAGCCGCCUUGCGGAUGGGCUUCCGCAUCCGGCGCUACGUCCACGUCGACACCGACCCCGCCGUGCGUGCCUCUGUCGCCCGGCUGCUGCCCAUGCUCGCCACGCAGCAUGCACCGCUGCUGCCGCCGCAGUCGUGGCAGCUGCACUCUGGCCCCGACCGCCUCGGCCUCACACCGGCGGACCUGGUGCCCUGGGCACUCGGGCCGGAGGGAGCGGAGCAGCUGCGGUUGCACGACGGCAGCCAAUGGCUUGUGGUCACCAGCUGGGCCUCGCACGCGCUCUGGCGCGACUCGCUCGCCCUCCAGCGCCUCGGCGGCCUGCAGCAGCAGCUAGCCAGCCGCCGCCUUCCCCAGCUCGCCUUCCUCGCGGAGGGUCCCUGGUGUGCGGAGUCACCAGACGCCUCGCCGCCCUUCGGGCCGCCCGCCGGCAUUGAUGCUGUGCAGGCCGGCAGCCCCGCGCAUCGCGUCACCUCUCUCUACACCAACCUGGCCGACUCAUCCCAAGUCGACUUUGCCUUCUCUCACCUGCGCCCUCUUCCCAGCCGCCUGCUUGCUGCCGUGCUGCCGCACGGCCGCACGCCUGGUGCUGCGCAACGGCCCCUCCCUCCUCCUUACGUGGCGCUGCAGGCCCCCGGCCAACCCCUCGCCGCGCUGCCCCCGCCUUCCCCGCCGCCCGCCGCCCCGGAGCCGCCACCGCUGCGUGCCGGCCCUGAUGGCCUGCCCUGCGCCCCGGACGCGGCGGACUGGCUCGCCGUCUCCACCCACCACUCCUCCCUCUCCUUGCCCGCCGCCUUCGCCGUCCAGCUGCUCCGCCGCCACACGCCGCCGGCUGUCUUCACGGCCGCCUUGGCUGCCGCCACGGCUCUCCACCGCCUCUUCUUCACGCGCCACGACAUGCAGCCGCUUCCCCCUCGUCAGAUCGACGCCCCGGCCUCCACGCUGGGGGGGGGAGCUGCCGCCUCGGGCCCAGCAGACCACCUGGAGACCGCCUUUGCAGCGCUGGCGCUGUCAGACGAGCCGUCACCACUGCUGGACGCGACCGAGACCACUCUCGCGGUUGCCCUGCUUCACCAGCGUCUCCUCGGGGCGCGCAUGGGUGCGCAGCUGCAUGUCUACGCCGCAGUGGCGGAAGCUGCGGAGCAAGCGGACUGGGCUGACGCCGCACUGCCGGCGUCGGCGGCCCCGGCCGCCGCCAGCACCACCAUCGCCUCCGCAGCCCUGGGCCCGUCAACCCCUGACACCGCAGACGUCUGGAACGACGCCCCCGUCAUGGACCUGCUGCGCCUGGGCGCCCAGCCUGACAGCCUCAGCCGCGAGGAACGGCAACGUGUACAGCGCCGCGCCGCCAGCCACCGCUGGACCGGAGAGCAGCUCAUCCGCCUCAUGCCCGACGGCAACACACGCGUCUGCCCGCCGCCGGAGGCCCGUGACGCCAUCGUCCAGCAAACGCACGAGAUCGGACACCUCGGCGAGCGCCGCACCUUGGCGCUGUGCCAGCUGGGCUACUGGUGGGCCGGCCAGCGGGCGACGGUGCAGGGCGUUGUGCAGCGCUGCAAGCUGUGCGACAUGGCCAACACCGGAGGCAUGGUGCGGCCUGUUCAACUGCAGCCGCUGCCAAUCCGCGGCAUGUUCUACCGCUGGGGCAUCGACCUGGCGGGCAACUUGCACCCGACUUCCCCCGAUGGCUACACCUACGUGAUGGUGUGCGUGGAGCACUUCACCAAGUGGAUCGAGCUUUUCCCGCUCACCACCAAGUCCGCCAGCGAGACCGCACGAGGGCUGGUGGAGCUCCUGACGCGCUUCGGCUCGCCCGCAGAGGUCACCACUGAUCGCGGCACCGAGUUUGAGGGUCCGUUCCAGGCGCUGUGCGAGGCUAACGCCAUCGACCACCGGCGCACGCAGCCCGACCAUCCGCAAGCCAACGGCCUAGCGGAGCGCAUGGUGCAGGUUGUAAAAGCGGCACUGCGCAAGCACUGCCGCAGCACGCAGUCCAACGACACGUGGGACAAGGCGCUGCCUUGGCUCGCCCUGGCCUACCGCUGCUCGCCUCAAGCUUCAACCCGCUACUCGCCCUACAAGCUGCUCUACGGCGUGGACCCCAUCAUCCCGCCUGCCGUCCGCCCGCGCUUUGAGGAGCACGAGCUAGCCUUCACCGGCGACGGCAGUGAGCAAGCUUACGCGGAGGCGCUCCUGCAGCGCUCGGAGUGGCUGCGGCGGCACGCGCCUGCCGCAGCCGGCAACCUGCUCAUCGCACAGCACCGCGACACCCAGCGCUAUGCUCUCACCCGCAGCGGCGGCUACCGCGCGCGGGCACUGGAGUUUGUGCCCGGUGACUACGUGUACCUGCGCAACGCAAAUCCCGACAACACGUUGGAGAUGCCGGUACGCGACCAGGUGCUGCGCGUGGAGCAUGUGGGCGACAUGGGCGUGGCCGCGCUAGUCGGCCGCGACACCGCACGCCUCCGUGCGCGAGUGGAGCAGUUGGUGCCGUGCCACCUGCCCAACCUGGACCCGAUUCAGGACGCCCGGCUGCUACGCACCAGCAACGACCUGGAGUGCGAAGUGUGCCACAGCCCGCAGCAGCCCUCCCGCAUGCUGCUGUGUGACGGCUGCGGCACCGGCUGGCACCUCCGCUGCCUCACGCCGCCACUCAGCAGGGUGCCUCCUGGCGCCUGGAUGUGCCCGGGCUGUGUGGAGCUGGGCAAGGCUCCACCCACUGGCCCCGCGCCGCAGCGGCCCUCGGCGGGUCCAGUGCUGUUCCCCAACGCUGAUACGCGACGCCGCGACGCAGAAGCAGCUACCCUCGACGGCGUGUCAGUUGUACGGGCAGUUCCUGGCCCAGCCGGAACACCGCGGCAGUUGCAGAACGGCACUCUGCGCUUCCGCGGGCCCUUGUCACGCCCCUUCUACUUCAUGGUGGAGUGGCCGGGAGGCUCCGCCGAGGCCAUCACCCUGGCCGAUGCAAAACGCCUGCAACGGCAAACAGUGCCAUCGUCACCUGCAUCAGCCCCUGCCCAGGGCGGCGAGCCCACGGCCAAGCGCCGUGUUCAGCCUCGCCGCUGAUGCACCAACCCUGCCGGCAUCCCAACGGCAGGACCUCGCGCACGCCGGCAUCCCAACGGCGUGUGCCGCGCUGGCAUCCCAACAGCGCGCACCCACGGACAUCUGCUUGGAGCUAGCUUGGACUCGAAGCUAGCAAUGAGGAUUGACUAACCCAGUGACGUGUGACUAGCUAGGUGUCUGUUCUCGUUUGUCGUGUGGCACGAACUCACUCGCAUAUCAUUCUGGUGUCAUGCGUUUGCUGUCCCGUGCGUCUGUAUGUGCUUCCGACUUUGCCAGUCUCGCUGACUCCCCUGUCUUCAGUCGUGGGGGGGAUAUCUCCGCCCGGGAGCGGCGUUGUGCAAGUUCGGCUGUGGCGCAUGUCAGCUGUCGUGUGAUGUCGUGUCUGUGGUUUGCCGCUGCUGCAUACCCCCCCCCUGGGGGUGGCUCUGCUGUGUGUGCUGUGCUGAGAGGUAGGUUGUUGCCGGUGCCUGUCGGGUGACUCAGUGCGUGUGACUCAGCGUGUCAAACCCGGUCCUGCAUGGGAGCCGCUACAGGUCCAGCAGGGGUAUGCCGGGCCAGCGAGUCCCUGACUCGCUGGUUGUGUUGCCAACAGCGCAAGCUAGCAGACUGUGUAUCAGACUGUGUCAACCAACCCAUCGCGAGCAUU
Molecule: long non-coding RNA, 6768 nt
Filed under: Chlamydomonas reinhardtii
Lineage: Eukaryota; Viridiplantae; Chlorophyta; Chlorophyceae; Chlamydomonadales; Chlamydomonadaceae
Description: long non-coding RNA (CREI_LNC000041)
Source: RNAcentral